Molecule: ribosomal RNA, 253 nt
Filed under: uncultured bacterium
Lineage: Bacteria
Description: partial 16S ribosomal RNA
Rfam family: Bacterial small subunit ribosomal RNA
Source: RNAcentral
UACGAAGGGGGCUAGCGUUGUUCGGAUUUACUGGGCGUAAAGCGCACGUAGGCGGGUCGAUCAGUCAGGGGUGAAAUCCCAGAGCUCAACUCUGGAACUGCCUUUGAUACUGUCGAUCUGGAGUAUGGAAGAGGUGAGUGGAAUUCCGAGUGUAGAGGUGAAAUUCGUAGAUAUUCGGAGGAACACCAGUGGCGAAGGCGGCUCACUGGUCCAUUACUGACGCUGAGGUGCGAAAGCGUGGGGAGCAAACAGG